RNAcentral lists this ribosomal RNA (497 nucleotides) under uncultured bacterium. Its description in RNAcentral is "partial 16S ribosomal RNA". It matches the Rfam family "Bacterial small subunit ribosomal RNA", at positions 28 to 507 of the family's 1533-position model. The record is from RNAcentral.
GAUGAACGCUGGCGGCGUGCCUAAUACAUGCAAGUCGAGCGAACGGACGAGAAGCUUGCUUCUCUGAUGUUAGCGGCGGACGGGUGAGUAACACGUGGAUAACCUACCUAUAAGACUGGGAUAACUUCGGGAAACCGGAUCUAAUACCGGAUAAUAUUUUGAACCGCAUGGUUCAAAAGUUAAAGACGGUCUUUCUGUCACUUAUAGAUGGAUCCGCGCUGCAUUAGCUAGUUGGUAAGGUAACGGCUUACCAAGGCAACGAUGCAUAGCCGACCUGAGAGGGUGAUCGGCCACACUGGAACUGAGACACGGUCCAGACUCCUACGGGAGGCAGCAGUAGGGAAUCUUCCGCAAUGGGCGAAAGCCUGACGGAGCAACGCCGCGUGAGUGAUGAAGGUCUUCGGAUCGUAAAACUCUGUUAUUAGGGAAGAACAUAUGUGUAAGUAACUGUGCACAUCUUGACGGUACCUAAUCAGAAAGCCACGGCUAACUACGUG